Molecule: ribosomal RNA, 243 nt
Filed under: uncultured Actinomycetales bacterium
Lineage: Bacteria; Bacillati; Actinomycetota; Actinomycetes; Actinomycetales
Description: partial 16S ribosomal RNA
Rfam family: Bacterial small subunit ribosomal RNA
Source: RNAcentral
UACUCGAGUGGCGAACGGGUGAGUAACACGUGGGUGAUCUGCCCUGCACUCUGGGAUAAGCCUGGGAAACUGGGUCUAAUCCCGGAUAGGACCAUGCUUUAGUGUGUGUGGUGGAAAGUUUUUUCGGUGUAGGAUGAGCCCGCGGCCUAUCAGCUUGUUGGUGGGGUAAUGGCCUACCAAGGCGGCGACGGGUAGCCGGACUGAGAGGUUGGUCGGCCACAUUGGGACUGAGAUACGGCCCAG